UACGGAGGAUGCAAGCGUUAUCCGGAUUUAUUAGGUUUAAAGGGUGCGUAGGCGGACUUGUAAGUCAGCGGUGAAAUACUACAGCUUAACUGUAGAACUGCCGUUGAUACUGUGAGUCUUGAGUAUAGUUGAGGUAGGCGGAAUGUGUAGUGUAGCGGUGAAAUGCUUAGAUAUUACACAGAACACCGAUUGCGAAGGCAGCUUACUAAGCUAUACCUGACGCUGAGGCACGAAAGCAUGGGGAGCAAACAGGAUUA
Molecule: ribosomal RNA, 257 nt
Filed under: uncultured prokaryote
Description: partial 16S ribosomal RNA
Rfam family: Bacterial small subunit ribosomal RNA
Source: RNAcentral